RNAcentral lists this ribosomal RNA (468 nucleotides) under uncultured bacterium. Its description in RNAcentral is "partial 16S ribosomal RNA". It matches the Rfam family "Bacterial small subunit ribosomal RNA", at positions 28 to 507 of the family's 1533-position model. The record is from RNAcentral.
GACGAACGCUGGCGGCGUGCCUAACACAUGCAAGUCGAACGGAAAGGCCCUGCUCUUGUUGGUUGCUCGUGUGGCGCACGGGUGAGUAUCACGUGAGUAACCUGUCCUUGACUUUGGGAUAACUUCAGGAAACUCGGGCUCUUAUCGGAUAUGAGCUCCUGCUGCAUGGUGGGGGUUGGAAAGAUUCGGCGGUUGGGGAUGGACUCGCGGCUUAUCAGCUUGUUGGUGGGGUAGUGGCUUACCAAGGCUUUGACGGGUAGCCGGCCUGAGAGGGUGACCGGCCACAUUGGGACUGAGAUACGGCCCAGACUCCUACGGGAGGCAGCAGUGGAGAGUAUUACACAAUGGGCGGAAGCCAGAUGCAGCAACGCGGCGUGCGGGAUGACGGGCUGCGGGUUGUAAACCGCUUUCGCCUGUGACGAGGCGUGAGUGACGGUAAUGAGUAAGAAAGCACCGGCUAACUACGUG